UGAUCCCCUGCGGGAGAGACCGGCCGUGGCGCCGGCGCCGAAGGAGCAACCGCCCCGGAAACUCUCAGGCAAAAGGACCGCAAUGGAGAU
Molecule: non-coding RNA, 90 nt
Filed under: Alphaproteobacteria bacterium
Lineage: Bacteria; Pseudomonadati; Pseudomonadota; Alphaproteobacteria
Description: Glycine sequence
Rfam family: Glycine riboswitch aptamer
About the family: This family represents the bacterial glycine riboswitch.
Source: RNAcentral